This 70-nucleotide transfer RNA is filed under the name Phialophora macrospora. Its description in RNAcentral is "tRNA-Val (TAC) (tRNA-Val-TAC-1-1)". The stretch from base 3 to 63 matches the Rfam family "tRNA", at positions 7 to 64 of the family's 71-position model. From Rfam's summary of the family: Transfer RNA (tRNA) molecules are approximately 80 nucleotides in length. Their secondary structure includes four short double-helical elements and three loops (D, anti-codon, and T loops). Lineage: Eukaryota; Fungi; Ascomycota; Eurotiomycetes; Chaetothyriales; Herpotrichiellaceae. The record is from RNAcentral.
AAUUAGCAGAGUGGUUCAUCACGUCUCCUUUACACGGAGAAGGUCGUGGGUUCGAUCCCCACAGGAACUA